AACGAACGCUGGCGGCAGGCUUAACACAUGCAAGUCGAACGGGCGUAGCAAUACGUCAGUGGCAGACGGGUGAGUAACACGUGGGAACCUUCCUCGUAGUACGGAACAACUCAGGGAAACUUGAGCUAAUACCGUAUACGCCCGGAGCAAUCCGGGGAAAGAUUUAUCGCUAUGAGACGGGCCCGCGUCCGAUUAGCUAGUUGGUGGGGUAACGGCCUACCAAGGCAACGAUCGGUAGCUGACUGAGAGGAUGAUCAGCCACACUGGGACUGAGACACGGCCCAGACUCCUACGGGAGCAGCAGUGGGAAUCUUGGACAAUGGGCGCAAGCCUGAUCCAGCC
RNAcentral lists this ribosomal RNA (342 nucleotides) under uncultured bacterium. RNAcentral describes it as "bacterial SSU rRNA". It matches the Rfam family "Bacterial small subunit ribosomal RNA", at positions 29 to 393 of the family's 1533-position model. The record is from RNAcentral.